Gossypium arboreum is the source of this 145-nucleotide non-coding RNA. NCBI's taxonomy places the organism in Eukaryota, Viridiplantae, Streptophyta, Magnoliopsida, Malvales, Malvaceae. The record is from Rfam.
AACUAAAAAUUUAAUCAACUUGUACUAUUAAAAAUUGACGUGAUUGAUGAAAUAAUCAAAAAAUGACACAUGGCAUUCCACGUGUGCCUCAUGUUGACGUAUAAAGAUUAAUUUUUAAUAGUAGAAAUGAAUGUAAAUUUUAACA